CGCGAGACCUGGAGGCAGCGGCGCGCGAGGCGAGGCGAGGCGAGGCAACAGCGACGGCGACGGCGACGGCGACGGCACGCGAGGCGCUAAGGUGGUAGCGCGAGGCAACAGUGACGGCGACGGCUACGCUCUCCGCCGCCUUCUCGCUGGUCCGGUUGUUCACCUUGAUGGAUUGGCCUAUCUGGGCCUUCCCGAAUGCUAGAUGGAUUCUUGAUUCGAUGGUUCUUGGGGGGCCAGGACGGUUCUUUAUUUCGUGUGAUUAUUACCUUUUGAAACUUUCAGAAUAUUUGUUAGUAAUUUAUUUCUUGUAAAGCUAUUAUCUUAAAGCCUUUGGUUUUCUACUUACUACAGGAUUCUUCUUGACAAAAAUUUUCCAUCCAAACAUAGCAACUAGUGGUGAGAUAUGUGUGAACACACUGAAGAAGGAUUGGAAUCCUAGUCUUGGAUUAAGACACAUUCUGUUAGUAAACUGAAAGUGCAACGCCCUAGUUCUGUUUUGCUGCUAAUUGCAUGAUGGGUCUGUAAGCAAUUGCUAGGUAGUGAGACACCUUCUGAUUGAACCAUUUCCUGAAUCUGCCUGCUACUUGAAAACUACUCCAGCCUUGGUAUGAGGAGUAUUCACGGCAUGCAAGGCUAUACACUGGUAUCCAUGCGCUCAAGCCUAAGAACAAGUCGAAGAGUGGAGCUAUUUCUAAGUCAACCACAGUUCUAAAUGUGGGCCAGUCCAAUACUGUUCUCUGUGAGAACACACCUUUGGCAUCAGCAGCGAUAUCUACCUCUGUUGUGGCGAAAGCAUUAGGUAAAAACUCACAGGAUCAGAAUGCUGCUACGUCGAAUCCUGUUGUAGGAGCAUUCACUGCACCCAAGAAGGAUGCGCCACAUGCUGCCAAAGUUCCGGUUGAUAAGAAGAAGCUGGAUGCAAGGAAGAAGAAUUUGAAGAGAUUGUAGUCGAAUAAUCCUGGGAGGCUAGGUUACUUAGUGAUAGAUAAAAUAAUGAUAUCUUCAUUAGUGCUAGAUUCAACAGAUGCCCGGUAGAACUGAAAAGAAAAGUGAAGAUGACAAACAGCCGGAGAGGCAUCUCAUAUCUGGCUGUCUGUGCUCUCUGUUGGGACAAACUGUCUGGGCAUCUCAUGCCAGUUUUUUUUAUUGAUGGCUUGUUUGUCUCCUGUUAAA
This is a long non-coding RNA of Panicum virgatum (switchgrass), 1173 nucleotides long. RefSeq lists it as uncharacterized. The record is from RefSeq and is a predicted model, not a curated record. The transcript is spliced from 4 exons. NCBI's taxonomy places the organism in Eukaryota, Viridiplantae, Streptophyta, Magnoliopsida, Poales, Poaceae.